Long non-coding RNA from Anopheles arabiensis, 1328 nucleotides. RefSeq lists it as uncharacterized. The record is from RefSeq and is a predicted model, not a curated record. The transcript is spliced from 2 exons. Lineage: Eukaryota; Metazoa; Arthropoda; Insecta; Diptera; Culicidae.
AACAUGCGACCUGGGCACUGUGGGCCGCUUCACACUCUUUGUGUCAGUUUCAAUUGGUGUUGUUUUCAUUUAUGGCGGUUUGUUUACAUUUCGUUGCGGUUAUCAUCAGGUUUCCGUGGUUCGAUAUUCGGUCGAGCUUUCUUUUCGUCAACCUCAUUGUGACGAUCGUGGUGCUCGGUGGACUGUUGGCAACGAUCGAAAAGCAUCUCCCCACUGCCAUCCGGCAGACGUUUGCUGCCCUCUGGUCGGUGGCCGGAUUUGUCGUCAUGAUGUAGCCAGCGCGGGACUACGUAAUCGCCUUCCUCGAUACGUUGGCAACCAACAAGCAUAUGGUGCGCACCACACCUACCGAGACGAUGGUUGCCAUGACGCUGAUCACGCUGCAGUGUUUGCGCCGGUUCCACAAGACCUGGUUCGUGCAGGUGUUCUCGAGCAAGCUGAAAAUCACCCACCAGUGGUACGUGGAACACUUUCACAACUAUCCGAAGCAAGCUCGUCAGGAAAGCACUCGUCCCGUUCGUUCUGUGAGAUCGACGGUGAGGGUGCGGAUAAUAUCGUUCCGGUUGUUGGGCUUUUUUGAGGAUCGAAAAAAUGGUAUGGUUUGUGUCCGGCUUUUUUUUAGGUUGCUGGUUCCCGGCUGAUGGGAUUCAGCUGGUUUUCCUGGAUCGUCUGUGAAUGCCUUGUUCCACGGACCGGUCGUCGAUGCACUCGAGGUGCACCGCAUUGACGAGCGGCAGUAGCAGGAUUCAAUCGGCGCGGCCGAGCUGGCAGCGAAGCCGUUUCUCGGUGAGCCAUUCACGCCGAAUGAGGGCGGUCAAGAGCCGGCUGCAUACGUUCGAUUCGUUCGAUUCGAUAUUCGUUACGCGCACGAUUAAACUGUGUAACGAUGCCGAGUGUGUCCGGCCAUCGCGACUAGCAGCACAGCGGAAGUUAAGUUGCGUCGUCUAUUGUGACACCUUUUCAUCAACAACUGGCAUGACUAUCGGCGCACGGUCGGUGGCUCUAGCGAAGGGGAGGGUGCGUUCCAAUCGGCUGGCAGGACACAGAUCGGAUCGGUUAGGACAGCGAGUUAUAGUUACGUGCACCAUAGUGACACGCUCACCUCACCGCUUGAAUUGACCAUUGAUCCGCUGAACCAGCGGAGAACAUCGGACGAUCGCGACCAAGAAGAAAUGUUAAUUAUUACUCAAAGUGCGUGCUUCCUCACGAGUAUACGUAAAUUAUUAUUUUUUUACCCAAAUGGUGUUGCUCAACAAACACAUAAUUAUAUGUUUCAAUAGUCCAUGACUAUAUUAGCACAAUAAAAUCUUAUAUCUAAUUAAACCAAA